GCCGCCUGGCCGCGGGAUUUCCGUAGGUGACCUGCGGAGGGACAUUUCUGAUGGCGGCGCCGCUUGUCGGCUGUUGCCUGCGACCUCGGUCCAGCGAUGGAGAUUUAUCUCCUGCGCUUCGGUCGGGCUUUGGUCUGGCCGUAAGAAAUAGGGACUUGUCCCACCCAAACCAAAACAGUUUGCUAUAUCAGUCUGAUGUACGAACAAAGAAAACAAAAGUGAAUUACUCUAAACGGUGGAUCACUCGGAUCAUGUAUCGAUGAAGAACGCAGCGAAAUGCGAUAGCUGGCGUGAAAUGCAGAAACCUGUGAACGUUGAAUUUUCGAACUCAAAUGGAGCAGAUGGUAAUACCGUCUGCACGUUCUUAUGACUGCUGGAUAGUUACCAAAGCUAAAUGCUCUGCACUGGCUGUUCUGUUGGCGUUUGUCGAUGGACGGCUGAAUCAAGUGUAUCAGUCGAACCGUCCUGAAUGUAACAUUCAGCGUCUCUGGUGAAUUCUUGAGGCUUGAGUGUUGCUGAAGGCGGCCGGCGUUAUCCCAUCAGCGUCAUAUAGAGCGAGGCUACCCGCUGAAUUUAAGCAUAUCAAU
Molecule: ribosomal RNA, 587 nt
Filed under: uncultured eukaryote
Lineage: Eukaryota
Description: eukaryotic LSU rRNA
Rfam family: 5.8S ribosomal RNA (bases 225-376)
Source: RNAcentral